ACGAGUUUGAUCAUGGCUCAGAUUGAACGCUGGCGGCAUGCUUUACACAUGCAAGUCGAACGGUAACAGGCCUUCGGGUGCUGACGAGUGGCGAACGGGUGAGUAAUGCAUCGGAACGUGCCCAAGUCGGGGGGAUAACCGUAGCGAAAGUUACGCUAAUACCGCAUAAGCCCUGAGGGGGAAAGCAGGGGAUCGCAAGACCUUGCGCGAAUGGAGCGGCCGAUGUCAGAUUAGCUAGUUGGUGGGGUAAAGGCCUACCAAGGCGACGAUCUGUAGCGGGUCUGAGAGGAUGAUCCGCCACACUGGGACUGAGACACGGCCCAGACUCCUACGGGAGGCAGCAGUGGGGAAUUUUGGACAAUGGGCGCAAGCCUGAUCCAGCCAUGCCCGCGUGCGGGACGAAGGCCUUCGGGUUGUAAACCGCUUUCAGCCGGAAAGAAAUCGCCCAAGGCUAAUAUCCUUGGUGGAUGACGGUACCGGAAGAAGAAGCACCGGCUAACUACGUG
This 506-nucleotide ribosomal RNA is filed under the name uncultured bacterium. RNAcentral describes it as "bacterial SSU rRNA". It matches the Rfam family "Bacterial small subunit ribosomal RNA", at positions 1 to 507 of the family's 1533-position model. The record is from RNAcentral.